This 1203-nucleotide long non-coding RNA is filed under the name Canis lupus familiaris (dog). RNAcentral's name for it is "lncRNA (ENSCAFG00030026264.1)". Lineage: Eukaryota; Metazoa; Chordata; Mammalia; Carnivora; Canidae. The record is from RNAcentral.
AUGAUCAAUAAAUUAUUUAACACGUCCCGGGGAGCCGCGGCUCCGAGGCUGCACCGCGUGUGUUUCCUUCGCGGCCCCCGCCCCCCCCCCCCAGUCCCGGGCCCCGCGACCCGGACCCCUCGGCCGCCCGGGAGCCGGAGGAGCCGCGACGCCAGCGAGCGCCCAGCGCAGCGGGACGGGGACCGGACGGAGACGCGGCAGGUGGGCAGGUGCGCAGGCGGGCAGGUGCGGCGGCCUCCCGGGCUGCGGGCCGGCUCCGCGGCGGGGGCCUGGCAGGUGAGCAGCGCCGCCGCGUGCUGGGACCCGGGGCGGGCGAGGGGCGAGUCCCAGCUGCGGCUCCGCCCGCGGCCCGCAGCUCCCGGACCCUGCAGCGCCCGCGGCUCAGGCGGCCGCAGCCUCCUCGCUAGAAAUGGUCGUUCGACUCAUCCGGGCGCCAAAGGCAAACCCGAAGGAACCGCGCGCCCUCCGAGGGUCCGCUCGCACUGCCUCCUCCCCGGUGAGGCCCGGACGGCUCCGCGGGGGACGGGACCCGGGUCGGGGUGCAGGGAGCGCGGUGGGGGCGCAGGGACCGUGGUCGGGGCGCAGGGAGCGCGGUGGGGGCGCAGGGACCGUGGUCGGGGCGCAGGGAUCCCGGUCGGGGCGCAGGGACCUCGGUCGGGGCGCAGGGACCGCGGUCGGGGCGCAGGGACCGCGGUCGGGGCGCAGGGAGCGCGGUGCGGACGCAGGGAGCGUGGUGGGGGCGCAGGGACUCCAGUCGGGACGCAGGGAGUGCGGUCGGGGCGCGGGGCCGCGGUGGGGGCGCAGGGAUCCCGGUCGGGGCGCAGGGGCCGCGGUCGGGGCGCAGGGACCGCGGUCGGGGCACAGGGACCGCGGUGGGGGCGCAGGGGCCGCGGUCGGGGCGCAGGGACCGCGGUCGGGGCGCAGGGAGCGCGGUGGGGGCGCAGGGAUCCCGGUCGGGGCGCAGGGGCCGCGGUCGGGGCGCAGGGAGCGCGGUCGGGGCGCAGGGAUCGCGGUGGGGACGCAGGGAGUGUGGUGGGGGCGCAGGGACUCCAGUCGGGGCGCAGGGAGUGCGGUCGGGGCGCGGGGCCGCGGUCGGGGCGCAGGGACCGCGGUCGGGCGCAGGGAGCUCACCGGCAGGCCCCGCCGCAGGUCCGGCUGGGGGAAGACCUCGGGCCGGCGCUCCACGUGGUCGCAUCCUACUGA